ACAUGAAUUAUCAUAUAUAGCAUUACUGAUGGAUGUUAAGAAUCUUGGUGAAGGAAGAUCUGGAGAUCGAUCGAGUUAAAUUCUAGUGUAUUGGCUCAAUGACUUCUAAACCAUUGAAUUUGAAGUAAAUCUUUUGGAAAGAAGAUCAACGUAGAUUGUUUAAUCGAAUUGCUGAGGAAAUCCACGGUUAACUUAUUUUAAAUUAAACCUAGAUAUUUUGAAUUCUAAAAUGGUUGUGAAGAUCAUGUAGUGACC
Molecule: long non-coding RNA, 255 nt
Filed under: Phoenix dactylifera (date palm)
Lineage: Eukaryota; Viridiplantae; Streptophyta; Magnoliopsida; Arecales; Arecaceae
Description: long non-coding RNA (PDAC_LNC018782)
Source: RNAcentral